GUAGAGGUACGGCCUCAUCCGCUGUUACUUCAGGCCCAGGGUUGUAGAGGUACGGCCUCAUCCGCUGUUACUUCAGGCCCAGGGUUGUAGAGGUAUGGCCUCAUCCACUGAUACUUCGGGCCCAGGGUUGUAGAGGUAUGGCCUCAUCCACUCUUAAUUCAGGCCCAGGGUUGUAGAGGUACGGCCUCAUCCACUGUUACUUCGGGCCCAGGGUUGUAGAGGUACGGCCUCAUCCACUGUUACUUCAGGCCCAGGGUUGUAGAGGUACGGCCUCAUCCGCUGAUACUUCAGGCCCAGGGUUGUAGAGGUACGGCCUCAUCCGCUGUUACUUCAGGCCCAGGGUUGUAGAGGUACGGCCUCAUCCGCUGUUACUUCAGGCCCAGGGUUGUAGAGGUACGGCCUCAUCCGCUGUUACUUCAGGCCCAGGGUUGUAGAGGUAUGGCCUCAUCCACU
Molecule: long non-coding RNA, 453 nt
Filed under: Salmo salar (Atlantic salmon)
Lineage: Eukaryota; Metazoa; Chordata; Actinopteri; Salmoniformes; Salmonidae
Description: lncRNA (ENSSSAG00000083416.1)
Source: RNAcentral